GUGUCAGCAGCCGCGGUAAUACGUAGGGUGCGAGCGUUAAUCGGAAUUACUGGGCGUAAAGCGUGCGCAGGCGGUUCGCCGUGUCCGAUGUGAAAGCCCCGGGCUUAACCUGGGAAUGGCAUUGGAAACUGGCGGGCUGGAGUAUGGCAGAGGGGGGUGGAAUUCCACGUGUAGCAGUGAAAUGCGUAGAGAUGUGGAGGAACACCGAUGGCGAAGGCAGCCCCCUGGGCCAAUACUGACGCUCAGGCACGAAAGCGUGGGGAGCAAACAGGAUUAGAUACCCUAGUAGUCC
RNAcentral lists this ribosomal RNA (292 nucleotides) under uncultured bacterium. RNAcentral's name for it is "partial 16S ribosomal RNA". It matches the Rfam family "Bacterial small subunit ribosomal RNA", at positions 505 to 796 of the family's 1533-position model. The record is from RNAcentral.